GCCAGCAUUAAGAAAAUAGCUGUACGAACCCAAUCCCGUCUGAUCUUGGAAGCUAAGCAGGGUCGAGUCUGGUUAGUACUUGGAUGGGAGACCACCUAGGAAGAACAGGUGCAGUAGGUG
This 120-nucleotide ribosomal RNA is filed under the name Pteropus alecto (black flying fox). Lineage: Eukaryota; Metazoa; Chordata; Mammalia; Chiroptera; Pteropodidae. The record is from RNAcentral.